Molecule: ribosomal RNA, 612 nt
Filed under: Enterobacteriaceae bacterium HGPR41
Lineage: Bacteria; Pseudomonadati; Pseudomonadota; Gammaproteobacteria; Enterobacterales; Enterobacteriaceae
Description: bacterial SSU rRNA
Rfam family: Bacterial small subunit ribosomal RNA
Source: RNAcentral
AGCUUGCUGCUUCGCUGACGAGUGGCGGACGGGUGAGUAAUGUCUGGGAAACUGCCUGAUGGAGGGGGAUAACUACUGGAAACGGUAGCUAAUACCGCAUAACGUCGCAAGACCAAAGAGGGGGACCUUCGGGCCUCUUGCCAUCGGAUGUGCCCAGAUGGGAUUAGCUAGUAGGUGGGGUAACGGCUCACCUAGGCGACGAUCCCUAGCUGGUCUGAGAGGAUGACCAGCCACACUGGAACUGAGACACGGUCCAGACUCCUACGGGAGGCAGCAGUGGGGAAUAUUGCACAAUGGGCGCAAGCCUGAUGCAGCCAUGCCGCGUGUAUGAAGAAGGCCUUCGGGUUGUAAAGUACUUUCAGCGGGGAGGAAGGGAGUAAAGUUAAUACCUUUGCUCAUUGACGUUACCCGCAGAAGAAGCACCGGCUAACUCCGUGCCAGCAGCCGCGGUAAUACGGAGGGUGCAAGCGUUAAUCGGAAUUACUGGGCGUAAAGCGCACGCAGGCGGUUUGUUAAGUCAGAUGUGAAAUCCCCGGGCUCAACCUGGGAACUGCAUCUGAUACUGGCAAGCUUGAGUCUCGUAGAGGGGGGUAGAAUUCCAGGUGUAGCGGU